AUUGAACGCUGGCGGCAUGCCUUACACAUGCAAGUCGAACGGCAGCACGGGAGCAAUCCUGGUGGCGAGUGGCGAACGGGUGAGUAAUGUAUCGGAACGUGCCCAGUCGUGGGGGAUAACGUAGCGAAAGCUACGCUAAUACCGCAUACGAUCUAUGGAUGAAAGCGGGGGAUCGCAAGACCUCGCGCGAUUGGAGCGGCCGAGAUCAGAUUAGGUAGUUGGUGGGGUAAAGGCUCACCAAGCCGACGAUCUGUAGCUGGUCUGAGAGGACGACCAGCCACACUGGGACUGGGACACGGCCCAGACUCCUACGGGAGGCAGCAGUGGGGAAUUUUGGACAAUGGGCGCAAGCCUGAUCCAGCAAUGCCGCGUGCAGGAUGAAGGCCUUCGGGUUGUAAACUGCUUUUGUACGGAACGAAACGGCGAGCUCUAAUACAGUUUGCUAAUGACGGUACCGUAAGAAUAAGCACCGGCUAACUACGUGCCAGCAGCCGCCGUAA
This 500-nucleotide ribosomal RNA is filed under the name uncultured bacterium. RNAcentral's name for it is "partial 16S ribosomal RNA". It matches the Rfam family "Bacterial small subunit ribosomal RNA", at positions 30 to 523 of the family's 1533-position model. The record is from RNAcentral.